CGUUUGAGCAAUGGAGGGACGCAGAAGGAUAGAAGAAGCGUGCGAUUGGUUGUGCACGUCCAAGCAGUUAGGCUGAUAAGUAGGCAAAUCCGCUUAUCGCGUAUGCUGAGCUGUGAUGGGGAAGCUCCUUAUGGAGCGAAGUCUUUGAUUCCCCGCUGCCAAGAAAAGCUUCUAGCGAGAUAAAAGGUGCCUGUACCGCAAAC
Molecule: ribosomal RNA, 203 nt
Filed under: Bacillus thuringiensis
Lineage: Bacteria; Bacillati; Bacillota; Bacilli; Caryophanales; Bacillaceae
Description: partial 23S ribosomal RNA
Rfam family: Bacterial large subunit ribosomal RNA
Source: RNAcentral